GAUGAACGCUGGCGGCGUGCCUAAUACAUGCAAGUCGAGCGAACGGACGAGAAGCUUGCUUCUCUGAUGUUAGCGGCGGACGGGUGAGUAACACGUGGAUAACCUACCUAUAAGACUGGGAUAACUUCGGGAAACCGGAGCUAAUACCGGAUAAUAUUUUGAACCGCAUGGUUCAAAAGUGAAAGACGGUCUUGCUGUCACUUAUAGAUGGAUCCGCGCUGCAUUAGCUAGUUGGUAAGGUAACGGCUUACCAAGGCAACGAUGCAUAGCCGACCUGAGAGGGUGAUCGGCCACACUGGAACUGAGACACGGUCCAGACUCCUACGGGAGGCAGCAGUAGGGAAUCUUCCGCAAUGGGCGAAAGCCUGACGGAGCAACGCCGCGUGAGUGAUGAAGGUCUUCGGAUCGUAAAACUCUGUUAUUAGGGAAGAACAUAUGUGUAAGUAACUGUGCACAUCUUGACGGUACCUAAUCAGAAAGCCACGGCUAACUACGUGCCAGCAGCCGCGGUAAUACGUAGGUGGCAAGCGUUAUCCGGAAUUAUUGGGCGUAAAGCGCGCGUAGGCGGUUUUUUAAGUCUGAUGUGAAAGCCCACGGCUCAACCGUGGAGGGUCAUUGGAAACUGGAAAACUUGAGUGCAGAAGAGGAAAGUGGAAUUCCAUGUGUAGCGGUGAAAUGCGCAGAGAUAUGGAGGAACACCAGUGGCGAAGGCGACUUUCUGGUCUGUAACUGACGCUGAUGUGCGAAAGCGUGGGGAUCAAACAGGAUUAGAUACCCUGGUAGUCCACGCCGUAAACGAUGAGUGCUAAGUGUUAGGGGGUUUCCGCCCCUUAGUGCUGCAGCUAACGCAUUAAGCACUCCGCCUGGGGAGUACGACCGCAAGGUUGAAACUCAAAGGAAUUGACGGGGACCCGCACAAGCGGUGGAGCAUGUGGUUUAAUUCGAAGCAACGCGAAGAACCUUACCAAAUCUUGACAUCCUUUGACAACUCUAGAGAUAGAGCUUUCCCCUUCGGGGGACAAAGUGACAGGUGGUGCAUGGUUGUCGUCAGCUCGCGUCGUGAGAUGUUGGGUUAAGUCCCGCAACGAGCGCAACCCUUAAGCUUAGUUGCCAUCAUUAAGUUGGGCACUCUAAGUUGACUGCCGGUGACAAACCGGAGGAAGGUGGGGAUGACGUCAAAUCAUCAUGCCCCUUAUGAUUUGGGCUACACACGUGCUACAAUGGACAAUACAAAGGGCAGCGAAACCGCGAGGUCAAGCAAAUCCCAUAAAGUUGUUCUCAGUUCGGAUUGUAGUCUGCAACUCGACUACAUGAAGCUGGAAUCGCUAGUAAUCGUAGAUCAGCAUGCUACGGUGAAUACGUUCCCGGGUCU
RNAcentral lists this ribosomal RNA (1372 nucleotides) under uncultured bacterium. Its description in RNAcentral is "bacterial SSU rRNA". It matches the Rfam family "Bacterial small subunit ribosomal RNA", at positions 28 to 1381 of the family's 1533-position model. The record is from RNAcentral.